Molecule: unclassified non-coding RNA, 239 nt
Filed under: Hevea brasiliensis (rubber tree)
Lineage: Eukaryota; Viridiplantae; Streptophyta; Magnoliopsida; Malpighiales; Euphorbiaceae
Source: RNAcentral
GUGAAAAAGAUUCUUAGAACAAAGAGAAUUGGAGGUUCACCAUUCUUUUCAUCAGCAAUUUCAUGCUCUUCUUGAUAUAAGGAAGAAAAAAAAAAUUGUUCUUCCAGGUGUAAAUUGGUUUUANNNNNNNGUAGGGACAGUGCAAUCCAGAAAAUUGUUACUUGUUUCUGCCUGGUGGAAAAUGAUCAGAGAAUCCUCUUCCUUGUCAACAUCUUGAUUCUAUGUAUAUUCAUCCAAGC